RNAcentral lists this ribosomal RNA (440 nucleotides) under uncultured bacterium. RNAcentral's name for it is "partial 16S ribosomal RNA". It matches the Rfam family "Bacterial small subunit ribosomal RNA", at positions 338 to 795 of the family's 1533-position model. The record is from RNAcentral.
CCUACGGGAGGCAGCAGUGGGGGAUAUUGCACAAUGGGGGGAACCCUGAUGCAGCGACGCCGCGUGGGUGAAGAAGCGCCUCGGCGCGUAAAGCCCUGUCAGCAGGGAAGAAAAUGACGGUACCUGAAGAAGAAGCCCCGGCUAACUACGUGCCAGCAGCCGCGGUAAUACGUAGGGGGCAAGCGUUAUCCGGAUUUACUGGGUGUAAAGGGGGCGCAGACGGCGAUGCAAGCCAGGAGUGAAAGCCCGGGGGCCAACCCCGGGACUGCUCUUGGAACUGCGUGGCUGGAGUGCAGGAGGGGCAGGCGGAAUUCCUGGUGUAGCGGUGAAAUGCGUAGAUAUCAGGAGGAACACCGGUGGCGAAGACGGCCUGCUGGACUGCAACUGACGUUGAGGCCCGAAAGCGUGGGGAGCAAACAGGAUUAGAUACCCUGGUAGUC